This 27-nucleotide non-coding RNA is filed under the name Homo sapiens (human). Lineage: Eukaryota; Metazoa; Chordata; Mammalia; Primates; Hominidae. The record is from RNAcentral.
UGGGCAAGCUAAAGGACAUGGUAACCC